CAGCCUGACACCAUCAGACCAACUCUUAUUGAUAUGAUGAAGCAUUACUUGCAUACCUCACGGAAGGCGGACUGUCCUGUAACACCUUCACAACAAGGUAAGUCUUUGUAGUCUGUGUUUACAGACAUGAUUGUACAAAACACAGCCUGACACCAUCAGAUCAGUCCCUUAUUGAUAUGAUGCAGCAUUACUUGCAUACCUCACGGAAAGCGGACUGUCCUGUAACACCUUCACAGCAUGGUCAGUACAAAAACCUUUUCUGACAUCUUUUUGUAAAUCAAUGAGACAGUAGUUAACCAAAUAAAUGUUAAAAUUGCGUGAAUCAUUAAAGAAACACAUUAGGAUAAAAUACAACAAUUAAAAACAAUAUGAUUAAAAUCCUAAAGGAGUGGUUCUGUGUGCGUCCUAUGAAAAGCGUAUUUAGCAAUUCAUAAACCCCCCCGCAUGCAAAUCCACAUUCCAUUUAAAUUGUCAAAAUUAGAAAUAGGAAUCAAUACAUUUCUGAUCAGGUGACUAUGCUGGUAAGUGGAGAGGUAAGAUUGUGACAACAUUUAUCAAUUUUUCAAAUGAAUGAAUAUAACGAUAUUUUAUAAGUUUAUAUUAGUUUUUAAUACAAACACAUUUAUUCUAUCAAUGCAAAAGAGUAUUUGGGUGAUUAUUUAACUCCCACAUUAAAAGUCUCUUCGACGAUGUUUGCAUGAAAGAAUAUAUUUUUACGAUAGCCUAAUUAUAAACACGUUAGUGGCAAGGCGUUCGGUAUUUUCCUCAGCAUAUAAGAUGCACCAGACUGAUAUGUUUUGUCAUUCAUCUUUAUUAUGGGUUUAACUAUGAUGAGUUUUAUUCAUACAACAAAUUUAAAACAUUUAAUUUAUAUUUAAGAUAUUGGUGUUACAUAUGUCAGAUGGGGGAAGAAAACAUGCCCUGGAAGUACAGAUAUUGUGUAUGCAGGUAUUUAUAGUUCUGUUUAUUAUAAGUUUUUAUUAUUUAUAUUAUGAUUAUUACUAAUACUAAUACUAACAAAAUCAUAUUAUUAUUAUCAUUUUUCUUCUAAUAUAAUCUAAUUCCAUACAGUAGACUUGGUAUUACUUGAAAAAGUUUUUUUUGUACAAUUUGGUUUUAGAUUGUAGUUGAAUCUAAAGACAUGACAAGGCUAGUGUCUAGAUAACGUUGGAAAAAUAGAAAGAGACCAUUUUCAAAAUAAAACAUGUGCUAAUACAUGUGUAUCAAUCUAUAAUACAGAACCAAAGUCCAAUGUAUUAUCUUUAUUACUGGAAUAUCAAUACAUAAAUUUUAAAACAUUGCUUUGUGAUAUCUUUGUCAUUAUUAUGUAUAUGUAGAUAAUCUGAAGAAUGACAUUUGUUAUAAGAUAAUAACUAUAAACUUAUUCAGGACAGUCUGGAGGUAACUAUUAUACUAACAAAGGAGGAGGUUCCAACUACCUCUGUUUACCCAGUGAUCCUGAAAAUGGUAAACCAUACUCCUAUGCUAAUGAUGGUUUAUAUGGUGCAGAGUACCAGAUACAAUCCAGCACAAAACCAUCCGGUUUACCUGCUAGUUUGAGCGAAAAGGAGGUUCCAUGUGCAGUAUGCAGGAGGAAAGGGAAAGUUUCUGUGUUAAUGAUACCAGGUAGUUCCAUUAUUAAUAUUUGUUAACACCAUUAUUUAGAAAAGAAUAAUAAAUAUUUUAUAAAAUAAUUGGUACAUUAUUUAGCUAUAUCGUCAUAUCAUUUUGUUGAUUGUAAGGUUCAACAUGAAAUAAUCUUGAAUGCUACGGCUUAACAUAAUGUUCUUUAAAUCACAAUCAUUAUUUCCAAGUAUAAAGUAUUAGUUCGUUUGAUAUAGAAAUUGCAUAUUUUUACAUUUUAUUUUUAUUUAGGAAAAAAGUCCUGUUACAAUGGAUGGCAAUCCGAGUACAAUGGCUUCUUGAUGAGUGAAAAUAAAGGAUAUAACAUUAAAGAAUAUAUAUGUUUGGACGGAGAGGCCGAACCAUUGGAUAAUCGGUCCUCAAACGAAGAUGGUGCUUUGUUAUAUCCCGUCAGAGCGAAAUGUGGUAGUCUAAGAUGUCCCCCAUACACAGAUAACACUGAAGUUCUUUGUACCGUUUGUAC
RNAcentral lists this long non-coding RNA (2107 nucleotides) under Mytilus galloprovincialis (Mediterranean mussel). The record is from RNAcentral. Lineage: Eukaryota; Metazoa; Mollusca; Bivalvia; Mytilida; Mytilidae.